Molecule: unclassified non-coding RNA, 315 nt
Filed under: Hevea brasiliensis (rubber tree)
Lineage: Eukaryota; Viridiplantae; Streptophyta; Magnoliopsida; Malpighiales; Euphorbiaceae
Source: RNAcentral
GCCGCUUCUGCUUACCAGAUCGAAGGUGCAGCAAACAUAUCAGGCAAAGGACCUAGUGUUUGGGACACAUUUACUCAUGAGUAUCCAGGUUACCUUUGUGUGUGUGUGUGUGUGUUUUAUAUUAUCUGUAGGCUUAUGCCAUAUGCUGCCCAGUGAUUCUACCUGAGCAAUAUUUUUGCCCAAGUGUUCUUUGAGUGUGUUAUUAUUAACAGAUAUCAGUUUCACAUAUCAGACUAUUUAAAUCAUGCUCAUAAAUAAAUGUUUCACUUGUUUCUUUCUCUUAAAUUUCACAGAUAUUACCAGAAGAAGUUGAGA